GGGGCUUUAGCUCAAUUGGUAGAGCGCCGCCUUUGCAAGGCGGAGGUCAGGAGUUCGAUUCUCCUAAGCUCCA
Molecule: transfer RNA, 73 nt
Filed under: Glaciihabitans sp. INWT7
Lineage: Bacteria; Bacillati; Actinomycetota; Actinomycetes; Micrococcales; Microbacteriaceae
Also listed under: 6 other names
Rfam family: tRNA
About the family: Transfer RNA (tRNA) molecules are approximately 80 nucleotides in length. Their secondary structure includes four short double-helical elements and three loops (D, anti-codon, and T loops). Further hydrogen bonds mediate the characteristic L-shaped molecular structure. tRNAs have two regions of fundamental functional importance: the anti-codon, which is responsible for specific mRNA codon recognition, and the 3' end, to which the tRNAs corresponding amino acid is attached (by aminoacyl-tRNA synthetases). tRNAs cope with the degeneracy of the genetic code in two manners: having more than one tRNA (with a specific anti-codon) for a particular amino acid; and 'wobble' base-pairing, i.e. permitting non-standard base-pairing at the 3rd anti-codon position.
Source: Rfam by way of RNAcentral